This 274-nucleotide ribosomal RNA is filed under the name uncultured Alistipes sp. RNAcentral describes it as "partial 16S ribosomal RNA". It matches the Rfam family "Bacterial small subunit ribosomal RNA", at positions 66 to 339 of the family's 1533-position model. Lineage: Bacteria; Pseudomonadati; Bacteroidota; Bacteroidia; Bacteroidales; Rikenellaceae. The record is from RNAcentral.
AGCAUAAUGGAUAGCAAUAUCUAUGGUGGCGACCGGCGCACGGGUGCGUAACGCGUAUGCAACCUACCUUUAACAGGGGGAUAACACUGAGAAAUUGGUACUAAUACCCCAUAAUAUCAUAGAAGGCAUCUUUUAUGGUUGAAAAUUCCGAUGGUUAGAGAUGGGCAUGCGUUGUAUUAGCUAGUUGGUGGGGUAACGGCUCACCAAGGCGACGAUACAUAGGGGGACUGAGAGGUUAACCCCCACACUGGUACUGAGACACGGACCAGACUCC